CAGUCAGUGCAGUUACGGAACUUUUGUCGGUCGAUUUUCACUUUGUUUUUCGCGUUUCCACGAUAUUAAAGCGGAUUUUUUUUAGGAAAGUGACGAAUUUCAAAAGGAACAAGGUGGUGCCGCUAGCAAAGGUUUUCAUAUCGACAUGAUGUCAAAGGCAGAAUUCUAGUAAGAACCAGCGGAAGACUUCGACGGUGGACCACAGGAACCACAAUCAAGUCGGAUCCGUGCGUUUCACUUCCUCGACCGGUUGUCGGACUUCCCCAAGCUCGAUGAUGUGCAUCCGGUCUGACGAAUGUUCAGUACGUAACCUGCAGCAUAACGUGAGUACAUUGAGCGCUUGACGUCACCCAAGACCACUGGCUGCUCCGCUAUGUUAUUUUCCACGAUGGCAACUCAUCAGAAACUGACCUGCGAGUUUCGGUCCUCUUACCUUUCCCCGCAUCGGAAUGUCAUAUUCACGAUGGCUCUUUGAUCUAGUUGAUAUUGCGAUUACAUGUCAGAGCUGCGGAUAGACUGAUCAAGACAACGCAUCAAAAAACAUACAAACGAAGUACUCUUGUACAUUUACUCCAGGCAGUGACUCAAACGUGUGCUAUAACUACGCCCAAUCAAGCACACAGAAAUGAAUCAUUACAAAUGCUCUGAGUAACUGCAGCGAAGCAUCAGCGAGGGUCAAAGUGGACAACAUUGCUCUCAUCUUGAAAACGGUCGACUGUCAGCGCCCAAACUACAAUCAAAUUAUUCCGGUCCUGUUGGAUGACGGUAUCGAUUAUUUGCUAGAAAAGUGUCCAAUGAUACCGGGAACUCCUCUGAAACCCAUGUUGGCGCAUUCCACAAAAGGCAUACAGAAAGAGUUGGAUUGUUUCGAUGGGAUAGAUUUUACCUGCAAAUGGAAGUACGAUGAAGAACGCGUUCAGAUCCAUUUGCUAGAGGAUGGCAGAGUUAACAUCUACAGCCGAAACCAGAAGAAUAACACCAGCAGAUAUCCGGACGUCAUUGCCCGGUUGGGUCAUCUGAAACCGACCUGCGAGUUUCGAGUAAGAAGCCGCUCACCUUUCGUCGCAUCGCAAGGCCAUAUUCAGGAUGGUUCCAUUACAUGUGGGCAUAAUAUUAUGUUAUUAAAAUAAAUUCAUAUUAUAUAUCUAUUAUAUAAUAAUAAUAAUAAAAAAACAAAUAAAUAUCAAACCAAAUUAAAUAAAAAUUAA
Molecule: long non-coding RNA, 1208 nt
Organism: Armigeres subalbatus
Lineage: Eukaryota; Metazoa; Arthropoda; Insecta; Diptera; Culicidae
Exons: 3
Source: RefSeq, a predicted model, not a curated record